RNAcentral lists this small RNA (300 nucleotides) under Vigna angularis var. angularis. RNAcentral's name for it is "Non-protein coding transcript". Lineage: Eukaryota; Viridiplantae; Streptophyta; Magnoliopsida; Fabales; Fabaceae. The record is from RNAcentral.
UUUGUGAAUGCCACAACUCAUGCUCCUGGCAACUACUGGAUACCAACUCAAGAACAAAUCCUCGUUGGGUUUAGCCAUUUCUCUUGUCCCGUCUGCUGCAAAACCUUCAAUCGCCACAACAAUCUUCAGAUGCAUAUGUGGGGGCACGGGUCACAGUAUCGGAGAGGGCCAGACUCGCUGAAGCGAACCCAUCCACGACCGUUGUUGGACAUUCCCUGCUACUGUUGCGCGAGAGGGUGCAAGAACAACAUCGAGCACCCACGUGCGAAGCCUCUGAAGGACUUUCGCACGCUUCAGACG